This 964-nucleotide long non-coding RNA is filed under the name Medicago truncatula (barrel medic). Its description in RNAcentral is "long non-coding RNA (MTRU_LNC007594)". Lineage: Eukaryota; Viridiplantae; Streptophyta; Magnoliopsida; Fabales; Fabaceae. The record is from RNAcentral.
UAUAAACCACACAAGACUUCCCCCUUCAAAAAAAAAAAGCACAAGACUUUCCCUUUUGUGAAAAAAAAUAAAAGACUUUCCCUGUCCACCCUACCAUUGUACCAUCUAAACAAGAAUUCCUCUAAAAAAAAAUGUUAUUUUGUACUCCCUCCGUCUCAAAUUGUAUGUCGCUUUCGAAAAAAAAAUUGUCCCAAGUUAUAUAUCGCUUUACAAUACCAAUGAAAUAUUAAUGUUACUUUUCCUAUUAUAUCCUUAACUAUUGAUUACUCUCUCUUCUUUCAAAUAUUUCAUUUAUCUUUUCCAUACCAUUUAUUAAGGAUAAUUUUGUAAAACAACUCAUAAUUUCUCUUCCCCACACAAUAUUAAUUACAUUUCUUAAUACGUGUGAAAUGGCCAAAACGUCAUACAAUUUGGGACGGAGUGAGUAUUUAGAAAUCAAAAAUAUUGUCAAAGAAAUUAUCGGGUUAAGUCACGACCAGGUCGCUCUCUUUAAGACGUUUCGCGGCACUACCCAAGUUGUGCAAGGUAGACUAACAACCACGCCGUCUCCAGGAUAAAACAGCCCAGAUCACUGUUACGAUUAUAUACUUCACAGUAUACAAUCGCUCAUAGAUAUACACCUCGAAAUAUAGUUUAAUCGUUUGAUUAAAACUACUCAAUACAAUACGCAGCCGCUCUAAUCGAAACCGAAAGGGACAGAAAGGAGCAGAAGUAGAAGAACGACUUGUUAACACAAGUCGAAGGGAGAAGAGAGGAAUCGCACAGGAAUCAUCGACUGUGGAAUUCGGUUUAAAGAAUGAGGGGCGCGAGCUCUCCUUUUAUAGGAUGAGUUCGUAACCGAAAACGAGACACUUGGGGAUUAAGUCAGCUUAAUCCUCAAGUAAAUGCAUUUUGUUCCUUAAUUGGAUAUAUCCGGACUCGUUUUUGGAUCGGAUCAGAUCGUAUCAAUUUCAUUUGUUACGCG